RNAcentral lists this long non-coding RNA (801 nucleotides) under Mustela putorius furo (domestic ferret). RNAcentral's name for it is "lncRNA (ENSMPUG00000025098.1)". Lineage: Eukaryota; Metazoa; Chordata; Mammalia; Carnivora; Mustelidae. The record is from RNAcentral.
AUGGACAACUGCCUUUCCCCAGAGUGGGUUUAUUUGUCAGCAGUGUUCAGGGGCCAUGAAAGUGCCAGGCUGUCCCUGGUGGGGAGGCCAUGGGUUUCCCCACAGGUGUCUUGCCCCCAGAAGACUCAGGGCCUGGCAGAGCUGGAGGACAGAAUUUGUAUCUUGGAUUUCAGGGAAACUGUUGAUUCCAUCCUAAGUGCAGACAUUUCGGAAUCCCUCCGAAGACGUGUUGUUUUGCAAAUGAUAGAAAUAAGUUUUGGGACAGGUCAUGCCCCAGGCACCCCCCCCCCCCCCCGCCCAGCCCUUAUCCUUUGCUUCUUAAGGUUUCCUGCGUGGACUGGGAUAGCUGGAUUUCAGAAUGUUCCCCUGGCCAGUGUUAGUUGGGAUUCCCGGGCCCUUCACCUUGUGAUUGGGCAUUUCCCACAAUUAAUCUCUACCCUGUUAAGAUGUAGAAAGUAGAAUGGACCAGUUUUGCCUGCAAGUGAAAGUAAUAAUUCAGGUGAUUACGCACAAGGAACUUUGUGGGGAGAGUUUAAGUUUCCUGUUACAUGUGUCAGCAUGAAAACAUAUAGUCACCUUCACCAAGAUGCAAAGGAUAAGGUGUGUUAAGAGAACGCUACACAUUUGUGGUAAGUCAACCCACCUUCAUUUAAGGGACAAUUUCUGGGACUGCAGUAUCGUUAACCAGAAAACCUAAUUGCUCGAAACUAUGUCUUACACACAGUCUCCAGCCACAUGGCCAGGACCGGCAAGAGACCCCAUUAGAAUAAAACCCUGGAGGGAAUGUUUGAGAAAAUGUGU